UGAGGAAUAUUGGUCAAUGGGCGAGAGCCUGAACCAGCCAAGUCGCGUGAAGGAAGACUGCCUUAUGGGUUGUAAACUUCUUUUAUACAGGAAUAAAAAGGCUUACGUGUAGGCCAUUGCAAGUACUGUAUGAAUAAGCAUCGGCUAACUCCGUGCCAGCAGCCGCGGUAAUACGGAGGAUGCGAGCGUUAUCCGGAUUUAUUGGGUUUAAAGGGUGCGCAGGCGGGCUUUUAAGUCAGCGGUGAAAUCUGGACGCUUAACGUCCAAACUGCCGUUGAAACUGGGAGUCUUGAGUAUGGAUGAAGUAGGCGGAAUUCGUUGUGUAGCGGUGACAUGCAUAGAUAUAACGAGGAACUCCGAUUGCGUAGGCAGCUUACUAAGCCAUAACUGACGCUCAUGCACGAAAGCGUGGGGAUCAAACAGGAUUAGAUACCCUGGUAGUCCACGCCGUAAAACGAUGAUUACUAGUUGUAUGCGAUAUGAUAGUAUGUGACUAAGCGAAAAGCGAUAAGUAAUCCACCUGGGGAGUACGCCGGCAACGGUGAAACUUAAAUGAAUUGACGGGGUCAUAGCUGUUUCCUG
RNAcentral lists this ribosomal RNA (582 nucleotides) under uncultured bacterium. RNAcentral describes it as "partial 16S ribosomal RNA". It matches the Rfam family "Bacterial small subunit ribosomal RNA", at positions 355 to 1376 of the family's 1533-position model. The record is from RNAcentral.